Long non-coding RNA from Cydia splendana, 360 nucleotides. RefSeq lists it as uncharacterized. The transcript is spliced from 2 exons. Lineage: Eukaryota; Metazoa; Arthropoda; Insecta; Lepidoptera; Tortricidae. The record is from RefSeq and is a predicted model, not a curated record.
AACAUACAAUUUAUUCUUUAAUAAUAUUUCGCAUAACUUGUUAAACUUUGACUCCAACCUUUUUAUCGAUCGUAAAACACUUGCAAAUUAAAUUCAAGUCAUAAAUUCAGAUUUGAAAUACAACAUUACAAAAGUAGGUCGCGCCGCGUAUGUUGCGCUCUGAGGAAGCCGAAAAUGAAUUUAUUUGUCUUCUGUAUCUUGAUACUGAUGAGUAUCGUGAGCGCGGUUCCGCAGGUCCCGUACGACUAUAUCCCGCUGGGACGCAAGUCAGCGCCGAAUAACCAUCCGUCCGACGUCAACCUUAACUAUGAGCGACUGUAUCCUUCGCGCCGCAAAUAUGUUGAUUAAACACCAAUAAAU